Long non-coding RNA from Andrographis paniculata, 529 nucleotides. RefSeq lists it as uncharacterized. The record is from RefSeq and is a predicted model, not a curated record. The transcript has 3 exons. Lineage: Eukaryota; Viridiplantae; Streptophyta; Magnoliopsida; Lamiales; Acanthaceae.
GGUGUGACAGAUUGGCUAAUGGCUAUAAAAAGUGGCGAUCCUCACACGCUUUGCCUUGUCUCUUCGCUCGCAGGCGUAUACAGCGUCGAACCUGCGAAUCCUUGGCUUCUCCAAUUCCCAGCGUUUACUUGCGAGCUGCUGCAUUCUCUAUUGUGAGAGCGAACGUGGCAAUCAAAGGGAGCGGGAUCGGGAGAGGGCUCAAGCAAGGGCCGGCCACAAGGGCAAGGGUCCAAGGGAUGAUGGCUUGACCCCCGAACAGAGACGCCAGAGGGAUGCUAAGGCAUUGCAAGAAAAAUUAUCAAGGAAAGCAACUCAGGAUGCUGCUGGAGCUGGGAAAGCCAACAAUAAUAAUAAGAACGCCGACAAAAAGUAAAGCACGGACGGACGAUCUGAUCAAAUCAAGGUCCAUUUUAUUUUUCUAGAGAUUGUGUAUGUGUAAUUGUGUAUCAUCAAAUUGUUGAUUCUGCUGUUGUGAUUGACAAACCUUGUUUAUGUUAAGAGCUUUAUUCAAGUCACAUUUAUUUGUUAA